UAUACAAAAUAUUUCACUUGAAAAGGUUUGUUUUUCGUUGUUGCAUUUUUAGUUCAUAAUUUUGACUAAAAUUUAGGUUGACCAUGCAAAGACCGAACUGACAGAAAUAGAUAGAACAAAAGAGGUAGAAAAGGAAACAGAAAUAAACGACGAAGAAUUAAUUACUGAAGAAUUAAGAACUGUUAAUUGUAAUUAACAUUCUACCAAAAAAGGCCUAUGUCCCGGAAAAACAAAUGCUUAAAGAAACGAAAGCUGCUUUACAUAGAAACCUAAAUAUUUGUAUUUAGAUUUGAUUUAUUUUAUUUUUACUGCUGCACUUAUAUGAAUAUUACUUAUAUGAAUAAAAAUUUUAAUUUUUUUGCUUAAAAAUCGACAAAUAUUAUUUUUUAAUCAUUGAAUUGCAGGAUUAGUUUUAUAGAAGCUGAGUACUGAGAAGCUAAACAAGCCGAGUACACUUUAAAAUGUCGUAAAAUUUAAAUGUCAUAAAUUACAUAAAUUACAAGCUAAUUUGUAAAUUACAUGAAAUGUUACCAGUAAAAUUACAUUUUCAUAAAUUACAAGUAAUUUAACAUCACUAGUUGAGUGCUGCCAGAAGUAAUAUGAGAUAUCACGUAAUUUUUAGUUUUUCUAAUUAAAUAUUUUGAUUACUUGUUAGUUUUAAUUACAGUUAGCCCUUAAUAAUUACUAUUUAUAAUCAUUUUGUCUAAAUGUUUCUACUGAUGUUACACUGUACUCAAAUCCGAAUUACGGCUAGCUAUUAAUUGAGCGACUUUUAACUCUAUUCUUUGUAUAUAAAGCCAAUUUAGAGUUGACUUUUUAUCUAACAUGACGAUUACUCAGACUUGGUUUUUAAUUAACUAAAUAUUGAGUGCAAAAAUAAAUCACUCAUAAAUGAUUAAUUAGGAUAUACAGUGUUGAAAUUAAUUCACUACGCGCCCUUCGCGGGGCGUCUUUCUGUUCUGGCUGAGGCUGAGACUCGUCAGCUGAGACCCGCCGCCGCCGGAUAAGGACUGUUCUCCUAGCGAUCACGCUUUUCUGGAGCAUCUAACGGACACUUAUCAACUAUGGUCGAGAUUACAGCAGCAAUAAUGUUCUGCAAGCGACUGCAUCCACUGGGCACAACCUUCUUCGAGAGGCGCCUCUUCUGGCAAAACAACAGCGAUAAGGAUGCAGUUUGUUGUCAAUAAUAAGUGUAGGUACCAAAGAGAAAAAACUUUAAAUUAAAGAAAACUUAAGACAAAUUUAUUAAUCAAUUUUUGGGGUUAUG
Molecule: long non-coding RNA, 1267 nt
Organism: Anoplophora glabripennis (Asian longhorned beetle)
Lineage: Eukaryota; Metazoa; Arthropoda; Insecta; Coleoptera; Cerambycidae
Exons: 3
Source: RefSeq, a predicted model, not a curated record